AAAAGAGAGAAAAAUUAGGGGAAAAAGGGAAAGAAGGAAGGAAAAAAAAGGGGAAGAAGAGGAAAAGAGGUAAGGCUAAUUUCUUCAAGCUUGGGUUGAAUUUUUCCAUUUUUUUCAAGUGAUAAAGUAUGAAUUAUGUUAAAAUUCUAGGGUUUUAUUUUGGCUCGAAGUUUUCAGAUUUUUUUGAGAGGAAUACUACUUGGAGCUCAAGUUAUUGAUUCUUGAAUUUCUAUCUACAUUAAGGUAAGGAGAUGUCAAUUUUUUUUUUGGGAAACCCUAGAAUUCGAUUUUGGGAUUUUGAUUAAUUAUUUGUGGGAACGAUUAUAUAAAUGGAAUAUUUCACUUGGGAGUUGAUUUUAUGGAACAAAUGUAUAUUAAAUUGGUGGAAUUGUGGUUACUAGUUUCACUAGAUUGGAGACUAAAAUUAGUUUUAAACUUGGGAAGAAGGUUUUGCUAAUGAAUUAAUUAUUAGAAAAGGGAUUAGAAAGUGGGAUUAGCUCCAAUUGAUCAAAAGAAUAUUUGGGAAAUUCAUUUGAGCAUCGACCAAUUUUAGUUAAGUAUUAUAAAAGUAGAUCUUAAAGUUUCUUAAUUUAAUAGUGAUUGAUUAGUCAUCUUGUUAUAUAUUCCAGGUGGUGACGAGGAGAUUGGAAGAGCCUAUCGACCAUCUUAGGUUCAACUUGUAUUAUGUGAGUGGAUAAGCUUAUUUUUUUAGAAAUAAGUAUUUAUUUAAUUUUGAAGUUACAUAUUUUAUAAGUUGAGUUGAUAGCAUGAUUUUUCAGAAUAAAACGAAUUUUAUUAUCAAAUGUUUUUAAAAGUUAAAUUCAGUUCAGUUAAAUUCUUUCAUUGACAUAUUAUUUCAGUAUUAACUAUUUCAGUUUAUUCAAAGUUAUUUUAAAACCACCAGAAAGUACCCAAGUGAUUUUACCCUCGUCUGCACUGGUGUGAAUGUGUUUCCACAGUGUAUGACUUCAUAUGGUUAUUUUACCCACUUUAUACUGGUGUGAAUGUGUUUCCACAGCGUAUGAUCAGUAUAGUGAUUUUACUCGUUCUGCACCAUUGUGAAUGUGUUUCCAUAGUGUAUGACCAUUUUAUAGCCCUGCGCGCGUACGAUCAAAAUUACAGAAUUUCAGAAUUACAGAAUUUCAGAAUUGAAUAACCUUGUUAUGUAUAUCGAGAUUAAUCGAUUUACGAGUAUGGUUAUUCUGGGUACAUUUUUGGUGUGAUGUUUUAGUAUCACAUAGCUUAUCAGAUUUUAGAAAUGCAGUAUACAGAAUAAAGAUGUUUAUGAUUACAGUAUAUUUUAGUUUUGAUUGUAUCAUCAGAUUUUAAGCUACAGAACUCGGCCUAUUCAGUUUAAAGAAUAAAUAUUUAGUUUAUAUGUCUGUGAAAAGAAAUUUUAUGCUAUAUGUCGGUUUUAAGAAAGAUUUUAUGAAUGGAAAAUUAAUUUUUUGCAAAUAUCCACUCACUGAGUUAUAGGCUCACAUUUUUAUCACUAUUUCUCUUAUCAGAUAGUAGCUGAGUUGAACACUACUGGGCCAGUUGAUCUAUCAAGUUGAGCCAUAGAUUGUCAAGCAUUGUAUGAACUAUCUUUUCAGUUUAAGAGUUCAUAUUUUGGAAUAGACACCUCUUUUGGUCAUAAAUUAGUUCCAUGUGUUGGGCUUGCUAUGUUUUGUAUAUAUAUUAUGCAUUUUGGGUACUGUGGUUUAGAAAUUGUUGCAAAAAC
Molecule: long non-coding RNA, 1723 nt
Filed under: Olea europaea subsp. europaea
Lineage: Eukaryota; Viridiplantae; Streptophyta; Magnoliopsida; Lamiales; Oleaceae
Source: RNAcentral